This is a long non-coding RNA of Carya illinoinensis, 593 nucleotides long. RefSeq lists it as uncharacterized. The record is from RefSeq and is a predicted model, not a curated record. NCBI's taxonomy places the organism in Eukaryota, Viridiplantae, Streptophyta, Magnoliopsida, Fagales, Juglandaceae. The transcript is spliced from 2 exons.
AGAAGAAGAAGAGGAGAAGAAAGCGGACGAGGGACGACAUGGAGAUGAGAAAACAGUGAGAUGCCCAAACAAAAUUAGGGGAAAAAGCAUAGCAGAGGAAUUUGUGGCUGUCUUUGUGUGUAGUAGAAAAGGCAGAGGGUUCGGUCUCAGAUCUGUGCUUGUUCGUGGUAGGAGAAAAAGCAAAGCAUGCUCGUUGGAUUUCGAUCUCAGAUCUACCAAAUCAAAAAAUAAAGAGUGAUGCUUCCAGAUCAAAAUGACUAACAAAAUAAACAUAUUUCCUCCCGUCUACCUCUCGGCUGUGCUCGUGUACCUCGCUGCUGAGAUGCAACUUGGGCUGGAUGGCACACAGUCGGAGAGCCUAUAUCAUGAUUAGCACAUUCGAUUAUUCCCCUCCCUUACAGCAUUGGGCACACGGAAAUUUGUGGGCAAAUUUGUAACUUCUUAACGUACAGUGAAACUUUUGUAAUAGAAAUCAAUAAUUUAGGAGGUUCUGGCAAUGCCAGGCAAUGAGAUAGUGUAGUUAUUUGAGAUUGAAUGUAUUGGUGAUUUUUCCAUUUCCGUUCUAAUCAUAUUAUUGUAGAGUUAAAAGAUAA